This is a long non-coding RNA of Hypanus sabinus (Atlantic stingray), 293 nucleotides long. RefSeq lists it as uncharacterized. Lineage: Eukaryota; Metazoa; Chordata; Chondrichthyes; Myliobatiformes; Dasyatidae. The record is from RefSeq and is a predicted model, not a curated record. The transcript is spliced from 2 exons.
CUCUAAUUGAAGCCAAGGAGCCCAAGCUAGAGUUUAUUGUAGAAAUUAACACAAAGAAAUUAGUAACAUAUUCAUGGACUCAGAACCAAAUUCAUCCUGGUUGCCGGCACUAUCGUGGAAGCUUUGCAUCCUACUCGGUCUACUGAUCUUAACGAUGAUGAAUGUCAGAACCAGAACACAGAAUGUGAACACUACCAUCCUGCACUUUCAGUACUGAUGACAUACCACAAACUGCUAACCUUAUCUCAAAUGUACAACCUGAAAACAUUAAUGAAGAUUAAUUAUUCACUUUC